UACCGUUCCAAUGAUCCCAUUCCAGCCAUUACAAUGAGCCCGUCCUCCUAUAGAUCCUCAUACCAGCCUCCUCUGUCAGACAGAACAAACAGUACAUGUCCCUGACAUCUGAUCUGUACUACCAUGAAAGGCAGAGGAGAGAAAACAGAUUAUAUAAAGAUUGGAAGUAUCCUGAGCAUCACUGAAACAUCAACAGGCAAAGUGAGACAGACUUACUGUACAGAGACACAGGGAGAGUCAUUAUAGUGAGUGAGACAGACUUACUGUACAGAGACACAGGGAGAGUCAUUAUAGUGAGUGAGACAGACUUACUGUACAGAGACACAGGGAGAGUCAUUAUAGUGAGUGAGACAGACUUACUGUACAGAGACACAGGGAGAGUCAUUAUAGUGAGUGAGACAGACUUACUGUACAGAGACACAGGGAGAGUCAUUAUAGUGAGUGAGACAGACUUACUGUACAGAGACACAGGGAGAGUCAUUAUAGUGAGUGAGACAGACUUACUGUACAGAGACACAGGGAGAGUCAUUAUAGUGAGUGAGACAGACUUACUGUACAGAGACACAGGGAGAGUCAUUAUAGUGAGUGAGACAGACUUACUGUACAGAGACACAGGGAGAGUCAUCAUAGUGAGUGAGACAGACUUACUGUACAGAGACACAGGAGAGUCAUUAUAGUGAGUGAGACAGACUUACUGUACAGAGACACAGGGAGAGUCAUCAUAGUGAGUGAGACAUAUUGAGAUAUGAUGCUGGCUGUGUGUUUCACUGUUGUCCUGGGCCUUCUCUCAGUGAGUGACUCCCAGGCGGCCCCUUUAACCUGUGAGGAUCUCCUGAGACCACUGGAGCUGAGCAGUGUCAAUCAGACUCUGGGAAAGUGGAUGUAUAUUGCUGAGAGUUCGGAUGGUCCUUUCUGGGACCAAAUACUGUAUACCUUAUUACACAGUGCCUGGAUAGAGAUCUCUGUACCGGUCGGUACCCAGAACAAUAUUCUUGACAUCGCCCAUUUCUUUUGCAUCGGUAUUCCACAUCUAAAUGCUUUUCGAUUCAGAUGCUACAGGAUCAACUCUAACUUUACUCUGCAUGACAAUAAAACAUGGACCUCAGUGACCCCCAGCCCUGUUACUGAGGUUCUCCUGACAACGUGCUCAGACUGUCUCCUGACCCUGGAGAGAUGGGAUGAGGAUGAGAAGACCUUCACCUCUCUAACACUCUACAGUAGGAGACGGGAGCUCACUGCUACUGAACUAGACUUCUAUACGAAACAGGUGGAUUGUCUCAGUCUGCCACCAGCGACGUUCAUCGAUCCAAAGAAAGAUCUCUGUCUCGACACAACUCCACUCUUAGAAGAUACAAUUGAGAAGGAAGUUGAGAAUGCAGUUAAACUUAUUUCAGAGAUUCCAAGAAUACUCAGAUAUACAUUUACACGUUUAAUUAAUUAUGUUUUUUAGCCAUUUUCAAUGUUUUUGUGUUUGAUGAGUAGUUGCCUCCUCCUCUCUGAUUGGUUUGCUGCCCACCAUGUAUUCUACAGUAACCCAGGGUUACAGUACCUAACCCAGCAAGCCUGUAAACAGUCCCUGAUGCCUUGAUGUGGGACCAAACUCCACUCUGUUCAUGUUGCUCUACAUUCAACACAAUAAAUCCAGAUUAAGACAA
Long non-coding RNA from Oncorhynchus keta (chum salmon), 1655 nucleotides. RefSeq lists it as uncharacterized. NCBI's taxonomy places the organism in Eukaryota, Metazoa, Chordata, Actinopteri, Salmoniformes, Salmonidae. The transcript is spliced from 2 exons. The record is from RefSeq and is a predicted model, not a curated record.